ACGGCCCUAUGGGUUGUAAACUUCUUUUAGUACGGGAAAAAACCCCCGGUCCGGUGUACCGGGGCUGAUGGUACCGUAAGAAUAAGCAUCGGCUAACUCCGUGCCAGCAGCCGCGGUAAUACGGAGGAUGCAAGCGUUAUCCGGAUUCAUUGGGUUUAAAGGGUGCGCAGGCGGAAUGAUAAGUCAGUGGUGAAAUCCUACGGCUCAACUGUAGAACUGCCAUUGAUACUGUCAUUCUUGAGUACACUUGAAGUGGGCGGAAUGUGUCAUGUAGCGGUGAAAUGCUUAGAUAUGACACAGAACACCGAUCGCGAAGGCAGCUCACUAAAUUGUAGCUGACGCUCAUGCACGAAAGCGUAGGGGAUCAAACAGGAUUAGAUACCCUGGUAGUCCACGCCGUAAACGAUGAUCACUCGAUGUUGGCGAUACACUGUCAGCGUCUAAGCGAAAGCAUUAAGUGAUCCACCUGGGGAGUACGGCCGCAAGGUUG
RNAcentral lists this ribosomal RNA (490 nucleotides) under uncultured Bacteroidota bacterium. RNAcentral's name for it is "bacterial SSU rRNA". It matches the Rfam family "Bacterial small subunit ribosomal RNA", at positions 411 to 896 of the family's 1533-position model. Lineage: Bacteria; Pseudomonadati; Bacteroidota. The record is from RNAcentral.